AUUGAACGCUGGCGGCAUGCCUUACACAUGCAAGUCGAACGGUAACAGGUCCUCGGAUGCUGACGAGUGGCGAACGGGUGAGUAAUACAUCGGAACGUGCCUAGUAGUGGGGGAUAACUACUCGAAAGAGUGGCUAAUACCGCAUGAGAUCUACGGAUGAAAGCAGGGGAUCGCAAGACCUUGUGCUACUAGAGCGGCCGAUGGCAGAUUAGGUAGUUGGUGGGAUAAAAGCUUACCAAGCCGACGAUCUGUAGCUGGUCUGAGAGGACGAUCAGCCACACUGGGACUGAGACACGGCCCAGACUCCUACGGGUGGCAGCAGUGGGGAAUUUUGGACAAUGGGCGCAAGCCUGAUCCAGCAAUGCCGCGUGCAGGAUGAAGGCCUUCGGGUUGUAAACUGCUUUUGUACGGUACGAAAAGCCCUGGGUUAAUACCCUGGGGUCAUGACGGUACCGUAAGAAUAAGCACCGGCUAACUACGUGCCAGCCGCCGCCGUAA
Molecule: ribosomal RNA, 498 nt
Filed under: uncultured bacterium
Lineage: Bacteria
Description: partial 16S ribosomal RNA
Rfam family: Bacterial small subunit ribosomal RNA
Source: RNAcentral